This 95-nucleotide signal recognition particle RNA is filed under the name Acetobacter sp. Its description in RNAcentral is "signal recognition particle sRNA small type". It matches the Rfam family "Bacterial small signal recognition particle RNA". From Rfam's summary of the family: The signal recognition particle (SRP) is a universally conserved ribonucleoprotein involved in the co-translational targeting of proteins to membranes. Archaeal SRP consists of a 7S RNA and homologues of the eukaryotic SRP19 and SRP54 proteins. In most bacteria, the SRP consists of a 4.5S RNA and the Ffh protein (a homologue of the eukaryotic SRP54 protein). The record is from RNAcentral. Lineage: Bacteria; Pseudomonadati; Pseudomonadota; Alphaproteobacteria; Acetobacterales; Acetobacteraceae.
GAAAGUUGGUAGUGGACGAAUGCCCUUUCAAACAGGUCAGGUCUGGAAGGAAGCAGCCAUGGGAGGUCUCAUUCGGGUUAUUACUAGCUUUCCAA